GACGAACGCUGGCGGCGUGCCUAACACAUGCAGGUCGAACGAGUCCAGGGCUUCGGCUCUGAGGCGAGUGGCGGACGGGUGAGUAACACGUGAAUAAUCUGUCCCUGUGCGGGGGAUAACCCGGGGAAACUCGGGCUAAUACCGCAUGGUCGGGCUGCAGGAUCUGCGGCCUGGGAAAGGUGGCCUCUGAAGAUGCUACCGUGCAGGGAGGAGUUCGCGGGCUAUCAGCUAGUUGGUGAGGUAAUGGCUCACCAAGGCUGCGACGGCUACGGGGUCUGAGAGGACGGCCCCGCACAUUGGAACUGAGACACGGUCCAGACUCCUACGGGAGGCAGCAGUGGGGAAUUUUGGGCAAUGGCCGAAAGGCUGACCCAGCGACGCCGCGUGUGGGAGGAAGCUCUUCGGGGUGUAAACCACUGUCAGAGGGGACGAAUGCCGGUAUGGGGAAUACUCAUGCCGGGUGACGGUACCCUCAAAGGAAGCACCGGCUAACUCUGUGCC
RNAcentral lists this ribosomal RNA (501 nucleotides) under uncultured bacterium. RNAcentral describes it as "bacterial SSU rRNA". It matches the Rfam family "Bacterial small subunit ribosomal RNA", at positions 28 to 509 of the family's 1533-position model. The record is from RNAcentral.